UUAAUUUGAGUAACUAAUUCUAUGGCUUGUAACAAAUUCUAUGACUUGUAUAUAUAGUCUUCAACCAUUCAUAUACAUUGUGAUGAACUAAUCCAAUAAAUAUAAAAGAAUAUUGAACUAACUUUCUCUCUAAAGCUAUUUAAUUCAUUCAUUAAAUCUAUAGUUAAUUAUUUUAAUAAUUAUUCUAACAUUACCGACAUUUUGUAUCUACCCUACUAAAAUA
This 223-nucleotide long non-coding RNA is filed under the name Lathyrus oleraceus (garden pea). RNAcentral describes it as "Pisum sativum (pea) long non-coding RNA (PSAT_LNC011977)". Lineage: Eukaryota; Viridiplantae; Streptophyta; Magnoliopsida; Fabales; Fabaceae. The record is from RNAcentral.